CCCUUAGACGUUCUGGGCCGCACGCGCGCUACACUGACGAAGGCAACGAGCUUUCCUUUACCGAAAGGUACGGGUAAUCUUUUGAAACUUCGUCGUGCUGGGGAUAGAUCCUUGCAAUUUUUGAUCUUAAACGAGGAAUGCCUAGUAAGCGCAAUUCAUCAACUUGCGUUGAUUACGUCCCUGCCCUUUGUACACACCGCCCGUCGCUACUACCGAUUGAAUGGUUUAGUGAGGCCUUCGGAUCCGCGACUCGUUUUGUGGAGAAGUUGGACAAACUCAGUCAUUUAGAGGAAGUAAAAGUCGUAACA
This 308-nucleotide ribosomal RNA is filed under the name uncultured eukaryote. Its description in RNAcentral is "partial 18S ribosomal RNA". It matches the Rfam family "Eukaryotic small subunit ribosomal RNA", at positions 1470 to 1796 of the family's 1831-position model. The record is from RNAcentral.